Molecule: unclassified non-coding RNA, 307 nt
Filed under: Flammula sp.
Lineage: Eukaryota; Fungi; Basidiomycota; Agaricomycetes; Agaricales; Strophariaceae
Also listed under: 1 other name
Description: partial contains 5.8S ribosomal RNA, internal transcribed spacer 2, and large subunit ribosomal RNA
Rfam family: 5.8S ribosomal RNA (bases 1-52)
Source: RNAcentral
AACGCACCUUGCGCUCCUUGGUAUUCCGAGGAGCAUGCCUGUUUGAGUGUCAUUAAAUUCUCAACCUUACCAGCUUUUGCGAGUUCGGUAAUGGCUUGGAUGUGGGGGUUUUGUGCCGGCUUCCUAGUGAAGUCAGCUCCCCUUAAAUGUAUUAGCCGGUGCCCUUUGUGGACUGUCUAUUGGUGUGAUAAUUAUCUACGCCGUGGACUUCUGCUUUGAAUGGGUGCACUGCUUCUAACCGUCUGUUCAUUCGGACAAUACUUGACAAUUUGACCUCAAAUCAGGUAGGACUACCCGCUGAACUUAA